RNAcentral lists this ribosomal RNA (459 nucleotides) under uncultured bacterium. RNAcentral's name for it is "partial 16S ribosomal RNA". It matches the Rfam family "Bacterial small subunit ribosomal RNA", at positions 338 to 795 of the family's 1533-position model. The record is from RNAcentral.
CCUACGGGAGGCAGCAGUGAGGAAUAUUGGUCAAUGGCCGCAGGGCUGAACCAGCCAAGUCGCGUGAGGGAUGACGGUCCUAUGGAUUGUAAACCUCUUUUGUCAGGGAGCAAAGGGCGCCACGUGUGGCGCUUUGCGAGUACCUGAAGAAAAAACAUCGGCUACCUCCGUGCCAGCAGCCGCUGUAAUACGGAGGAUGCGAGCGUUAUCCGGAUUUAUUGGGUUUAAAGGGUGCGCAGGCGGCAUGUCAAGUCAGCGGUAAAAUUUCGGGGCUAAACCCCGUCGGGCCGUUGAACCUGGGGUUCUUGAGUGAUCGAGAAGUAUGCGGAAUGCGUGGUGUAGCGGUGAAAUGCAUAGAUAUCACGCAGAACUCCGAUUGCGAAGGCAGCAUACCGGCGCUCAACUGACGCUCAUGCACGAAAGCGUGGGUAUCGAACAGGAUUAGAUACCCCAGUAGUC